Long non-coding RNA from Helianthus annuus (common sunflower), 3083 nucleotides. RefSeq lists it as uncharacterized. The record is from RefSeq and is a predicted model, not a curated record. The transcript has 6 exons. Lineage: Eukaryota; Viridiplantae; Streptophyta; Magnoliopsida; Asterales; Asteraceae.
UAUCAAUUUACAUCGCCUACUUGCGCCAGAAAUCUUUUCAACUUUUCGUUUCUGCCACUCAACUGUGUCUUCUUUGAUUUCCCCCUCAACACAUAUCAGUUGCUAUUUGGCUUCUUCAUACCACUUUUUACACAGGUUCUUGAGAGAUAAUCUAGACAGAGGAAGGGAGAGAGGUGGUUGGCACGGUGGACGACCGACGGAGGGCAGCGGCUUACAACGCAGAAGACGGUCUUCAUCGUUUUCCUCCGUCACUUGAAACCAGAUCCGCCGGCAGUGGCUUCUAGAAGACAUACUGCCGACAGCAUCGGCGAACUGAGAUAGCGAUCCUUUGUCUUUGAGAUCAAAACGAUAUGAGAGAGAGGGAAAGAGGGCAGGGGCGGAGACAAGGCGGCGAUUAGGGUUCCGUCGAUUCUUAAUUUCAUGUUUUUGGCUUUCUGGAUUCAGUGUUGCUUUUCAGGUUCGUUCGUAUUGUUAAAAUUUUAGGGCUUGCAUUAUCGGCUUCUGUUGGUAAGGGAAUUAGGUGUUCUUGGUGGGAUUUUGUAUUCAGGCUUUUAUUGUCUCCUUUUAGGAUUUUGUUUCAAGUGUUUUCCAUCUCCGAUUUGGGUGGUGUGUUUAAUAGUUGUUCUGAUUUCUUCCUCAGUUGUUGCGGACAGGAUUUGCAGCUGCAGGUGUUAAGUUGUUCUGCAUGUGUUUUUGUGGUCGUGACACCCAUUUGGCAAGUAACUUUUAUUUCAUUAUUUUGAUUGUUUGUUUGUUUUCUGGAUUAUUGAGAUGCGGAUAGGGUUUGUGAUGAUCACAUAGGGUUUUUUUAAUAGUUGUAUUGUUAAGUUGAUUUUUAUUCAUGUUGCAUGUCAUUAUAGUUUAGAGAAUUAUACACUGAAAAGAGUUGGAACUGUUGAAAAGAAGGAAUUUCUUUACACCUGCUGUAUGUGUGAUUUAGCUGUUGAGUGGCUAAGUACAUUUGAAAGCUUUUUAUGAUAAAAAGAAAGUAGUCCUUUGUCAAUGUAUAUGUAUUUUGGUUGUUUUGAAAGGAGACAUUUUACAAAACCACCUUAAGAUUUCAUAUGUUGCUUUGCAUUUUUUAUUCGAAAACCUAUUAGUAGGGCGGGAAAUCUUGACCCAUACACUACGUUUGGGUCAUUUUGAACUUUAAUUAAAAGCUUCUGGGCUAUUUGGGUUAAGUGCUAUUUUUACAAUGGGUGGAAAUGGAUUGAACAAAAAGUGAGAAAUUAGAGGCGCGGGUCGAACGGGUCAUAACUGGCAUGGGAAAUCUUGCCCUACCCAUUACAACUCAUAUCCAAAAACCAUUGAAAGGUUGUUAAAGCAAUUUCAUGAUGUAGUUUUGUUGAUUUUCCCCAAAUGUUCAAAUGAGAAGGUAUUUUGAUAUGUAAUAAAAAAAUGGUCAAUCGAGAGUAUUUUGUUGUUUUUUUUUUUUUGUUUUUUCAAAUUGCAAGUCUUACUGAGUAAUCUUGAUAGUGGAAAGUUGAUGAAUAUUUAUUUUCUUUUUCAAAUAAAAAACCUUUUUAAGCCAACUCAAGACGAAAACCGUUGCGACCCGGACCCGCUUUGACUUGAACCCAUUCUGACCCAAACCUGUUCUAACCCGAACCAAAACAACCCUUUCUUUGGAUCAACCCGUUCUGACCCAAACCGUUUUGACCCGAACCUAUUUUGACCUGCCACCCGACCUGAUCCGACCCACCCGUUUUGCCAAGUGUACCCAUUAGUCAUACCAUCAUGAAGUAAAUUAAGCACCAAUAUCGACUUCUUGACGCUAAAGAUUUAUUUAAAAAGUAUACACACUUAUGAACAUGUAUAAACAUGCAACUUGGUUACACUUAAAAAAAAUAGAUAUUAUAAAUUGAAGUGGGCUUAAGUAUGCAUGUUUGUUAAACGUAAAAAAAUGAAGUGCUCUUAGAACUUUCUUUUUUUUUUUUGGUCAAUUACCUGUCACUAAGCAAGAGAAUGUAACCGAAAAGUCAAUAAUUUUCAGGGCCGGUCUACCUAAGUGGAAAAUAUGACAUAAAAAAUUACAAGUCUUCUAAAUCGAAUCUUACAGACACCUUUAAUGUAAAGAUAGUAACAUAUUGCAUGCUCGCAGGUAGAAAAGUCAAGAUGCCCAACAUCCUGCGGCACAAAAUAUCAUUGAAAAUUAUGUCGCCAUAUCUGACCUUGUGCCACUUCAGGAUACUGAGAUAGCAGUAAGUGAUCUCAUUCCAAACAGCAACUCACAUACACAAAUUUACAUGCAGAGUAAAAACUUAAGCAACCAAAGGAUAGUCUUACACAGCGUGCCCCAGAUGCGGUCUGUCCAUCUUGGAAGUUGACACUGAAUGGUUUUGCACGCGUGACAGCCCGCAAGAUAAAAGCAAAAAUGAUGUACCGAAUCAUAGCAACUGUUUCAGAUAACACAGGUAGCAUCGCCGCAGUCAUUUUCAACCGCGCCGGCAAACAACUUUUAGGUAAGACAUGUGAAGAGCUGGCUUCAACUGAAGAUCCGGUGAAAACAUUGUGCCCAGUAAUCGGGAAGGAAGCAGUCAUGUGUAUCCAAUUACAUUAUGACAGGAGAACGCGUACCAUGAAAUGUGUUGUUAACUAAGCUUCUUAAACGACAGUUAAGCCCGAUGCAGCAAGCAAUUCCAGUCCCCCACCAGCAGUAAAGGCACCCCACCUAACAACCCCUGCCUACAAAGGAAACAUGGAAACAACAGUGGAGAGGUAGUUGGAAUUCCCUGACACCGAUGCACUAUCAAAAAAGCCUAGCAAAGGCUUGAAGCCUUAAACUCACCGAAGAUGUCACUUUUGUCCACCUAAAAGAAGAAGCAAAGGUGGGAUUUGAGCCUAAAAGUAUAAUCGCUAAACGCAUACCUUUUGUACAAAUCACAGCUAAAGCAGUAACACAUCCAUGGCUGCCUACUAACUACACUGCAUAUAUAGGCAGCGUAAUAGCUUACUUUGGAACUAUUUUUAACUAAUGCUAAACUGCAUACUAAACUCAGUAAUGUGUAUGCCUAGACUGCUGUAUGUUGUACGUUGCGUCUAUAAAUAGCACUGUGAUUAACUAUUGGAAAAUCGUUUAUUAG